Molecule: ribosomal RNA, 254 nt
Filed under: uncultured bacterium
Lineage: Bacteria
Description: partial 16S ribosomal RNA
Rfam family: Bacterial small subunit ribosomal RNA
Source: RNAcentral
UACGUAGGGUGCGAGCGUUGUCCGGAAUUAUUGGGCGUAAAGAGCUCGUAGGCGGUUUGUCGCGUCUGCCGUGAAAGUCCGGGGCUCAACUCCGGAUCUGCGGUGGGUACGGGCAGACUAGAGUGAUGUAGGGGAGACUGGAAUUCCUGGUGUAGCGGUGAAAUGCGCAGAUAUCAGGAGGAACACCGGUGGCGAAGGCGGGUCUCUGGGCCGAUACUGACGCUGAGGAGCGAAAGCGUGGGGGAGCGAACAGG